Long non-coding RNA from Homo sapiens (human), 1771 nucleotides. Ensembl annotates it as long intergenic non-protein coding RNA 2516. The record is from Ensembl. NCBI's taxonomy places the organism in Eukaryota, Metazoa, Chordata, Mammalia, Primates, Hominidae.
GGGAUAGUAGCAGUGAGGAUGAGCAGAGGUCACUCUCGUCACCUUCUUGGUUUUGGGGACGAGACACACACACACAGAGACAGAGAGAGAGAGAGAGUGCAAAGCAAGGCAAGGCAAGAGGAGUAAGAAGGUCAUUAUGCAAUCUUUCUCGGACUCAGCUCUCUAAUUCUUAAGAUCAGCAGUCUCAAAGUACCAUCUGUGUACUCCUGGGAGCUCCUAAGACACUUUCAAGAGCCACAGCAAAAGAGAUGAAAUUCUGCCUGAACUAUUAUCCUCCAUUUACAGUUAAGUAAACUGAGGCCCUGGAAAAUGAGGCACUUUAGUUUUAAAAGCUGCUAAAGUCUAUUGCUACAUCAUGCAGCUAGCCUGGGCUCUGCUUUGCUUGUGUCAGUCAGCUCUGAAGAAGUCUCUGUCCUGUAAUUUAGACUGUAUGCCAUUAAGUGGGAUUAGUUCAGGGAAAUUCACAGGAAUAACAAAAGACAGAAAACAUGAGGAUGAUGGGCCCCACCCCAGGACGGAAAAUGUGUGGAAACAUCAAGGGAAUAAAAGUGUGUCAGUUUCAGUUCUGGACUCCACAUUUUGCUAGGGACAUUACCAACUAUCCAGAAGACAGAGAUGGGAAAUGUAAAGGGACUGCAAAAAAGCCAUGUUACAUAAAGAACCGUGAAAGAAACUGGAAAUAAUUUCCUUAGAGGACAGAAGAUUCCUAGGAAAUAAGACAAUGAACAAUGAGUGUUGGAGAAUGUCCUUUCCUGCCUCUUAAUCAUUCUGAAUCGAAACUAAUGAUAAACUUCAAUCAAUGACAUUGAGGGGAUGGGUAAGGGAUAAUAUAAAGAGUCCUCUAUGCAUGCUAAUUUGUUGUUACAUGUGACCUAAGAUGGUGGUUUCUUGCUUUAAAGACCUUACUAAUCAUUACAGAGUAUUCUUAUUCUCUGCUCAAUAAUUUGGAAAUGACUUAGGUCCUGUAACUCUCUGUGUCUCUAAUUUCUGAUCUCUGUAUUCAUCCAUGCUGUCUUUAGUACAAGUAUUUAUUUAUGUAGACUUCCCUUGUUCUGUUCUUUAUGUUACAUGGAGGAAAUUCUGAGAAACUUCAUCAGUAGCACUAUGAAACUCCUUCCAUACAGAACAGUCUAGAACAGGCAUUGUCAAACUGGGCUAAAUCUGUUCUGCCAUCUGCUUUUCUAAAGAAAAUGUUGUUGGAACACAACCACGUUCAUUCAUUUCUGUAUUGUCUGUGGCAGAGAUUGACCAUCACGAUAGAGACCAUAUGAGUUGAAAAGCCUAAAACAUUUAUUACCUGGCUCUGAACAGAAAAUACUUGCUGACUUCUGGUCUGGAACAGCACUGUGUAUAUACCUCAGGUUUAAUACUGGAAGUCUCCAUUAGUCCUUCUUCAGAGGUGACUAGAGUGCACAGUCAUAAUGACAGGGCCCCAAGGACUUCUCUAACUCACACUCCCUGUCCAGUCACCUUCACUGCAACAACCAUCUUACCAAGGGGUGCUGUCACUGCUCCUGUCCACUUUCUGGCCGUCAGAUGCCUCGAGAGUUCUUCUUGCCCUUGAUAAGGAAUAAACUUGUCAGUUGCAUGUGGCAGUUUUUCAACUGAUUUGGGAGAUGAUGCAGAUUUUGCUAUUUCUUAACUUUCAAUUGUUGUGUUUUCUGGUUCUCAGUAGGGAGACAUGAAGAAAAUUGCUGAUUCCCUUCAGUUAAAUAACAGUUUAGAUUAAACCAGCAAGAACUUUUGCUCUUUAAUAAAAUGCAAAGUUACC